This is a long non-coding RNA of Capsella rubella, 395 nucleotides long. RefSeq lists it as uncharacterized. The record is from RefSeq and is a predicted model, not a curated record. Lineage: Eukaryota; Viridiplantae; Streptophyta; Magnoliopsida; Brassicales; Brassicaceae. The transcript is spliced from 3 exons.
UCCAACCCAAGUAUGUUAAGCUAUUUCUUAGGAAUAAAGUACCAAAAAAUAAAUCAAUAAUCAUAAUUAGUGUAAGAAAUGUCUCUUGCUAACAGUUUUUGUGUGUGUUUCUUAUUGAAACGUGUUUAAUUGUGACUGGCUUGAGUUUGGGAAAAAAAAACCCAUGAAAGACUUGCAAACAAAUAAAAACACUCAUAUCUCUCUCUCGUUCUCUUGUCGAAACAACGAUCACUCUCUCGAUAUCUCUCUCACUCUCUUCUCGUCGCCGAUGGGCAAACUAAAGAACACAGAAUCGAGAAACAGAUAGUUUCUGUUCUACACCAACAAGCCGAGAGCAACACCCACAAGCCGAGAUCACCAACAACACCAACUCUAUGCAUUGGACAUGCUCUUAG